UCCCUGGAGGACUAGUGGUUAGGCCUCGGUGUUCUCUCCUCCGCGGCCCAGGUUCGAUUCCCGGCCAGGGAA
Molecule: transfer RNA, 72 nt
Filed under: Pangasianodon hypophthalmus (striped catfish)
Lineage: Eukaryota; Metazoa; Chordata; Actinopteri; Siluriformes; Pangasiidae
Description: tRNA-Glu
Source: RNAcentral